AGAUUUUCUUUUUUUAACAAGAAAUUAUGGGAUUUCUGUCUCAGUAACCAUUACAUGUAUACAAUAUUUUGUUUAGCAUAUUUGAUACAGAUUUUUAUUGGGGGUUCAAAGAAAAAAAAAUGGCUGGGAUGGGGAAGGCACAGAGUUUAUUCUGUACAAAUCUACAAUACCUUAAAACAGAAAUGCUACACAUCCCAUUGCAAAAAUUAUACUAAAAAACAACUGUAGUUAUAGUAUUAAAAAGGCAAUUGAGAAAAGGGCAUAACAAAGUAAUUUACACUUAAAAUAUUGAUCAACAAUAAUUAGAAAAUAGUAUAUCAUGAAUAUGUUAUUAUUAUUCUUGCAACACAUUUUAGGAGAAAAUAAAUCUGUCUGUC
Molecule: long non-coding RNA, 377 nt
Filed under: Mytilus galloprovincialis (Mediterranean mussel)
Lineage: Eukaryota; Metazoa; Mollusca; Bivalvia; Mytilida; Mytilidae
Source: RNAcentral